CCUACGGGAGGCAGCAGUGGGGAAUAUUGCACAAUGGGCGCAAGCCUGAUGCAGCUAUGCCGCGUGUGUGAAGAAGGCCUUCGGGUUGUAAAGCACUUUCAGCGGGGAGGAAGGCGUUAAGGUUAAUAACCUUGGCGAUUGACGUUACCCGCAGAAGAAGCACCGGCUAACUCCGUGCCAGCAGCCGCGGUAAUACGGAGGGUGCAAGCGUUAAUCGGAAUUACUGGGCGUAAAGCGCACGCAGGCGGUCUGUCAAGUCGGAUGUGAAAUCCCCGGGCUCAACCUGGGAACUGCAUUCGAAACUGGCAGGCUAGAGUCUUGUAGAGGGGGGUAGAAUUCCAGGUGUAGCGGUGUAAUGCGUAGAGAUCUGGAGGAAUACCGGUGGCGAAGGCGGCCCCCUGGACAAAGACUGACGCUCAGGUGCGAAAGCGUGGGGAGCAAACAGGAUUAGAUACCCUUGUAGUC
RNAcentral lists this ribosomal RNA (465 nucleotides) under uncultured Klebsiella sp. RNAcentral describes it as "bacterial SSU rRNA". It matches the Rfam family "Bacterial small subunit ribosomal RNA", at positions 338 to 795 of the family's 1533-position model. The record is from RNAcentral. Lineage: Bacteria; Pseudomonadati; Pseudomonadota; Gammaproteobacteria; Enterobacterales; Enterobacteriaceae.